Lolium perenne is the source of this 1568-nucleotide non-coding RNA. NCBI's taxonomy places the organism in Eukaryota, Viridiplantae, Streptophyta, Magnoliopsida, Poales, Poaceae. The record is from RefSeq and is a predicted model, not a curated record.
UCUGUCACAAGCCAAAAUCGAGAAGGGUAGAAACCCCACGGCACCCACCCUUUCCACCAUGGUGCCGCCGCCGGAGAGCUCCCCCAGCACGUCCAAGACCACCGGCGGGUGCGCCUCGCCGAGCUCUUCCUCCUGGCGCAGCGAAUCGACCAAGGGCCCCCUCAAUCGCCGCCGCCGUCCUCGUUUCUUCCCCAGCACCGAUGGCCUUUUUACUCAAUUCCGGUGACCUCGACCUUUCCCCGCCGCUGUUGAGCACGCCAACGCGUUCAGGGACCCCAUCUCUGGCGAUGCUCCGGUGACCUUUGACCGGCGGCGCCGCCCUCCCUAGGUCCGCUCCGACGAGGCGCAACCGAGGCACCCCUCCGCGCGUCCAGGGGGCCUUCACCUUGCCGGCGCGUUUCCUCGCCACCCCGCAGUCACCGCCUCCUCCUCGCCGCGCACGGCGUCGAACGCCUGGCGGGCAUGCGCAGAAGGUUUGCCACGCUGGCGUCCUACGUGGCACCCGACCCCACCCGUCAUCCUCUCCGGCUCAGAUCCCUCUCGCAUUUGCCUCUUCUCGGAUAGGAUCGCGAAGUGUUGAUGUGAGAUACGACGAGUUCUCCGACAAGUUCUUCUGCAGCUUAUCACAGGCGAGCCCUCUCUCUUCACCUAUUUUACUCUCUCCCUCGCACUGCUAUCCUUAUGUUGCGAUUCUUUAUCGAGUCACGUGUCCUAUUCCACUUGUUUACCAUAUAAUCCUAUAUGCACCAUUCCUUACCCAUAGCCGUUGCUUGAUGUUUGAGCCUUGCGAGUCGUAGGCGUGUUUAGGAUUUGUUGUUUAUCUCGAUCUGUUAUCGGGAUAUGUUGGGUUGUUGGGAGGUUAUCACAUGCUUUAUCAGUUGUUGGAGAUACACAUGCUUUACUUAUUUGUUAACAACUAAAACUGUAAGCAGAGGCAUCUGUGAGCCCCUUUGCGAAAGCAUCGGAACUUUGACUCGCUAAUGUCCCCUAGGACCCGAGUUCUUAUUAUCUGUUCCGAGAUUGAGCGCUCUACCCAUGCGUGGGGAUUCACUGGGACCCCCCUCACCCAUUACCUUUUCUCAAGUCAGUUGAAAAGGGGGCCACAACCUUGGUUUUAUUUGGUGCACGCAUAUUUAUUACUGUUGCUUCCUUGUGACAGUAAAGCACUCGUCCGUUGAGAACCCCAAGAGGAAGGUAUGAUGUCGUACAACAGCAAGUUUUCCCUCAGUAAGAAACCAAGGUUUAUCGAACCAGUAGGAGCCAAGAAGCACGUUGAAGGUUGUUGGUGAUGGAGUGUAGUGUGGCGCAACACCAGGGAUUCCGGCGCCAACGUGGAACCUGCACAACACAACCAAAGUACUUUGCCCCAACGAAACAGUGAGGUUGUCAAUCUCACCGGCUUGCUGUAACAAAGGAUUAGAUGUAUAGUGUGGAUGAUGAUUGUUUGCAGAAAACAGUAGAACAGUAUUGCAGUAGAUUGUAUUCGAUGUAAAAGAAUGGACCGGGGUCCACAGUUCACUAGAGGUGUCUCUCCCAUAAGAAAUAGCAUAUUGGGUAAACAAAUUACA